RNAcentral lists this ribosomal RNA (570 nucleotides) under Bipolaris sp. RM02. Its description in RNAcentral is "eukaryotic LSU rRNA". The stretch from base 193 to 346 matches the Rfam family "5.8S ribosomal RNA". Lineage: Eukaryota; Fungi; Ascomycota; Dothideomycetes; Pleosporales; Pleosporaceae. RNAcentral also lists the same sequence under 2 other names. The record is from RNAcentral.
UCCGUAGGUGAACCUGCGGAGGGAUCAUUACACAAUAAAAUACGAAGGCCGUUCGCGGCUGGACUAUUUAUUACCCUUGUCUUUUGCGCACUUGUUGUUUCCUGGGCGGGUUCGCUCGCCACCAGGACCACAAUAUAAACCUUUUUUAUGCAGUUGCAAUCAGCGUCAGUAUAACAAAUGUAAAUCAUUUACAACUUUCAACAACGGAUCUCUUGGUUCUGGCAUCGAUGAAGAACGCAGCGAAAUGCGAUACGUAGUGUGAAUUGCAGAAUUCAGUGAAUCAUCGAAUCUUUGAACGCACAUUGCGCCCUUUGGUAUUCCAAAGGGCAUGCCUGUUCGAGCGUCAUUUGUACCCUCAAGCUUUGCUUGGUGUUGGGCGUUUUUGUCUUUGGCCCGCCAAAGACUCGCCUUAAAAUGAUUGGCAGCCGGCCUACUGGUUUCGCAGCGCAGCACAUUUUUGCGCUUGCAAUCAGCAAAAGAGGACGGCAAUCCAUCAAGACUCCUUCUCACGUUUGACCUCGGAUCAGGUAGGGAUACCCGCUGAACUUAAGCAUAUCAAUAAGCGGAGGA